Molecule: long non-coding RNA, 2471 nt
Organism: Oncorhynchus kisutch (coho salmon)
Lineage: Eukaryota; Metazoa; Chordata; Actinopteri; Salmoniformes; Salmonidae
Exons: 5
Source: RefSeq, a predicted model, not a curated record
GGCAGAGAGAGUGGGGGAGCGAGUCAGAGAGAAGGAGGGAAGAGAGGAAACAGCUCCUCUCCUGUUAAAGGAUGUCAAGUCUUCAGCUGAGAGCUUGUUGAGGAGCACUGAUGCAUCCAUCCUUCCUGCUCGUCCAGAUGAAUCUCACCACUGCGACUCCACAGCCUCGGCACAGCCUUGUAGGUGGAGGAGACGAGGAGCUGCUCUGUGCCAUGAAGACGAAGGUGAAAGUGUUCUCCUGCCCCAGGCUGAGUGGAGUGCACUGCAUACAAAGGUAGACUGAUGUUCAUAUUCUACUAUGGACGGUGUGUGGUACAGACGGACAUCGACUGGAACGGAACAGGCCACGAGGACCAUUCAGCUCUACCAUAGGGCCCCGCAAAAUCAUUUGGAAGAAGUUGUUUCAGUGACCAACAUGUCAGAAAUUAGCACAUUAACAGGUCACAAGAUGUGCUGGGCUCACCCUCCAUGAAUCCCAAGAAUCCCAUCAUGCCCUAGGAGUUUAAAAGCUCCAAUCCAGCUCGAACUCAACCUCACAUGACUCCAGUUCCCAUCACCAACUUGACUCCAGUCCCUUGUUGUUCAGUCCUGCUGUUUCCACCCAGCGGUUUAGUUGUGACAGUGGCUUUCAAUGAGAAUCCAGUUGGCCUUCCCUCUCUUGUACCCCUCAUUAACGUUGGCCCUCAUGUCAGAGCCCUGUGGGCCGCAGAGGGGAAGGCUCUCAUGGUGUCUCUGCUGUACAGAGAGCCAGGUCUGAUCCCAGCCAUGAGGAGCCCACAGGCGGAGAGCCCUGUUUAAAAUUCCGCUCUGCAACAUGUCGGCUUUCCAAUCCACCGGGAUUGCAUUAUUAAACUUACACAAGCUCAUUUCCAUACAAAGCAGGAUAUCAGCGGCAGACAGUCAUGCAUAUUUAUCGCCGUGUGCCUGGCUUACGCACGAAUACACUCGCACAAUAACCCACAUGCAGGCAUAACUUAGUCGUGGUACAUAAGUGAGGGAGGAAACUGAGGUGCAUUCCUAAUGGUUUGAGCAUGAGAGGUCCUGAGUGAGGAUGGUCAGUGAAAUCUACAUGUCAAUCACCUGAUAAACCGACACAUAAACAGGCAGUUUCUCACACGCAAACAGGGGAGAUGAGAUGAGUUACACUUUGAGAUCUGACGAGAAGUGUAUUACUGAUAAUCUACACGCAGAGUCAUGCACACACGGUCCAGCCAAGCCUCCACCUGUCCAUGUUGACUGUUCCCUGCUAGUAGCUAGUUCCCUUAAUGUCCCUGUCUCUGUGUCUCCCCCCGUCCCUACGUCCCUGCUGCCCCACUGUUCUUCUCCUCCUCCACUAGUUUCCGAGCACCGGUUUCUCCUCUCCUCCUCCCCCUCUUUUCUUCCUUGCCCUCCUUCAGGUGAUGUCCGUCCCUCCUCCUCCUCCUCCUGUGAGAUUGCUGCUGUGUCUUAUGGCUUUUUAUUCCUACGUGAGGGUAGAUGUGUUCAUGUAGGGAUAGAAGCCACUAAACACACGGUGAGAGGUCAACGUGCAGGCCAGUAGAGCCAAAGCUUCCUUUUCCACACAGAGCAAAUAGCCUGCGGUGACGUUACAGUGGAGUUUACUGUCUAACUCUAGGCCUACAUGCACCCGUUACUUUUAAACGGGCCUCCCGGGUGGCGCAGUGGUCUAAGGCUGUGCCACCAGAGAUUCUGGGUUCGAGCCCAGGCUUUGUCGCAGCUGGACGCAACCGGGAGGUCCAUGGGGCGACGCACAAUUGGCCCAGCGUUGUCCGGGUUAGGGAGGGUUUGGCCGGCAGGGAUAUCCUUGUCUCAUCGUGCACUUGUGACUCCUGUGGCGGGCCGGGCGCAGUGCACGCUGACCAGGUUGCCAGGUGUACGCCAGGUGUACGGUGUUUCCUCCGACACAUUGGUGCGGCUCUCUUCCUGGUUGGAUGUGCAUUGUGUCAAGAAGCAGUGCGGCUUGGUUGGGUUGUGUUUCGGAGGACGCAACCCCAAAUAGGAUGAACAUUAGAAUACUGAGAUGAAUCAUUGUAAAGUGUGAAAUGUUAUUCUAUGUGCUUCAUAAAACCUACUUCUAGCUGCCAUCAUAGCUGAAGUGUAAUAAUUCAACACCCUCACUAAUGUACAUGAAUGUUCACACUAUAAAUCUACAUCACAACACAUGAUAGGAGCAUCAAUUAUUGACAGUGUUUUCUAUAGACCUCCAAGCUUUCAGGGAGAAUGUGUUGGAAUAGAUUACUGCCAAUGGAUUCACUGCCUGAGGCUGCGUGUGGCUGUCUGUUUUCCUGAGUUGAGUUGAUGCAUUAAUAUAAAGUCUUUGUAUGUAUAUACAUGCAUCUCUGUCUUUUAAGAAUCUAUCUCCUGGCAGAUUUUCCUGUAAUAAAUAAUGCUCUUUUGUGUUGUUGCCGUUCUUCAUUUGUUUUCAUAUUUUCAAUGGUGCGAAUUGAUGAAUAAAUGAUGCAUUCAGCCAA